RNAcentral lists this ribosomal RNA (402 nucleotides) under uncultured bacterium. RNAcentral describes it as "bacterial SSU rRNA". It matches the Rfam family "Bacterial small subunit ribosomal RNA", at positions 355 to 774 of the family's 1533-position model. The record is from RNAcentral.
UGGGGAAUAUUGGACAAUGGGCGCAAGCCUGAUCCAGCAAUGCCGCGUGAGUGAUGAAGGCCUUAGGGUUGUAAAGCUCUUUCGCACGCGACGAUGAUGACGGUAGCGUGAGAAGAAGCCCCGGCUAACUUCGUGCCAGCAGCCGCGGUAAUACGAAGGGGGCUAGCGUCGUUCGGAAUUACUGGGCGUAAAGGGCGCGUAGGCGGCCUGUUUAGUCAGAAGUGAAAGCCCCGGGCUCAACCUGGGAAUAGCUUUUGAUACUGGCAGGCUUGAGUUCCGGAGAGGAUGGUGGAAUUCCCAGUGUAGAGGUGAAAUUCGUAGAUAUUGGGAAUAACACCGGUGGCGAAGGCGGCCAUCUGGACGGACACUGACGCUGAGGCGCGAAAGCGUGGGGAGCAAACA